This 518-nucleotide ribosomal RNA is filed under the name uncultured bacterium. Its description in RNAcentral is "bacterial SSU rRNA". It matches the Rfam family "Bacterial small subunit ribosomal RNA", at positions 8 to 518 of the family's 1533-position model. The record is from RNAcentral.
AGAGUUUGAUUCUGGCUCAGGAUGAACGCUAGCGACAGGCUUAACACAUGCAAGUCGAGGGGCAGCAUAAAAGUAGCAAUACUUUGGUGGCGACCGGCGCACGGGUGAGUAACGCGUAUGCAACCUACCUAUCAGAGGGGAAUAACCCGGCGAAAGUCGGACUAAUACCGCAUAAAACAGGGACACCGCAUGGUGAUAUUUGUUAAAGAAAUUCGCUGAUAGAUGGGCAUGCGUUCCAUUAGGUAGUUGGUGAGGUAACGGCUCACCAAGCCGACGAUGGAUAGGGGAACUGAGAGGUUGGUCCCCCACACUGGUACUGAGACACGGACCAGACUCCUACGGGAGGCAGCAGUGAGGAAUAUUGGUCAAUGGGCGAGAGCCUGAACCAGCCAAGUCGCGUGAAGGAAGAAGGAUCUAUGGUUCGUAAACUUCUUUUGCAGGGGAAUAAAGUGCAGGACGUGUCCUGUUUUGUAUGUACCCUGAGAAUAAGGAUCGGCUAACUCCGUGCCAGCCGCCGC